Suricata suricatta (meerkat) is the source of this 276-nucleotide long non-coding RNA. RefSeq lists it as uncharacterized. The transcript is spliced from 2 exons. The record is from RefSeq and is a predicted model, not a curated record. Lineage: Eukaryota; Metazoa; Chordata; Mammalia; Carnivora; Herpestidae.
GAAAGAAUGCUUCCACAUAAGAGAAGGGGAGCUGGGUCACUCAGUCGGAACCACAAAUAGCCCUGGAGAGAGGGAGUCAGAAGAUGUGACAGUUCCCCUGCAAUGGAUGGUGACCACACCCCCUGCCGCAGCAGCUGGUGACACAGGCCUGAAGCAUAAUGGAAGGCAUUUGGGGAUCUAUUUUUCUCUUGCUGCGUAGAAGAUUACUCACCUCACUCCUCUGUGUCACAAGGAAGGAGGUGGGGACAGGGGGACACAAUAAACUGCCAAGGAUGA